GACGAACGCUGGCGGCGUGCUUAACACAUGCAAGUCGAACGGAAAGGCCCUGCUUUUGUGGGGUGCUCGAGUGGCGAACGGGUGAGUAACACGUGAGUAACCUGCCCUUGACUUUGGGAUAACUUCAGGAAACUGGGGCUAAUACCGGAUAGGAGCUCCUGCUGCAUGGUGGGGGUUGGAAAGUUUCGGCGGUUGGGGAUGGACUCCCGGCUUAUCAGCUUGUUGGUGGGGUAGUGGCUUACCAAGGCUUUGACGGGUAGCCGGCCUGAGAGGGUGACCGGCCACAUUGGGACUGAGAUACGGCCCAGACUCCUACGGGAGGCAGCAGUGGGGAAUAUUGCACAAUGGGCGAAAGCCUGAUGCAGCAACGCCGCGUGCGGGAUGACGGCCUUCGGGUUGUAAACCGCUUUCGCCUGUGACGAAGCGUGAGUGACGGUAAUGGGUAAAGAAGCACCGGCUAACUACGUG
This 468-nucleotide ribosomal RNA is filed under the name uncultured bacterium. RNAcentral describes it as "partial 16S ribosomal RNA". It matches the Rfam family "Bacterial small subunit ribosomal RNA", at positions 28 to 507 of the family's 1533-position model. The record is from RNAcentral.